This 407-nucleotide ribosomal RNA is filed under the name uncultured bacterium. Its description in RNAcentral is "partial 16S ribosomal RNA". It matches the Rfam family "Bacterial small subunit ribosomal RNA", at positions 28 to 526 of the family's 1533-position model. The record is from RNAcentral.
GACGAACGCUGGCGGCGUGCCUAAUACAUGCAAGUAGAACGCAGUUGCGAACGGGUGAGUAACGCGUAGGUAACUGCCUCAUAGCGGGGGAUAACUAUUGGAAACGAUAGCUAAUACCGCAUACUGUGAGAUGGACCUGCGUUGUAUUAGGUAGUUGGUGAGGUAACGGGUCACCAAGGCGACGAUACAUAGCCGACCUGAGAGGGUGAACGGCCACACUGGGAAUGAGGAAACGCCCAGACUCCUACGGGGAGCAGGAGUAGGGGAACUUCGGAAAUGGGGGGCAGGCUGACCGAGGAACGCCGGGGGGGUGGAGAAGGUUUUUGGGUCGUAAAGCUCUGUUGUUAGGGAAGCGGUAACUAAACAGAAAGGGACGGCUAACUACGUGCCAGCAGCCGCGGUAAUAC